AUAUUCUUAUAUUGUUUUGCUCAAUAAUAUUGAAGCGUUGGGCCCUUCUUGUUCUAUAUGUCCAUGGGGAAGAUGGACCUCAUGCCCCUGGGUGUAUGAAGAGGUAAAUGGUUCAAAUUUGUGCAUAUGCUUAUCGUCGGAUAGGAUUAGGUGAUUAGAUACGUGAGCAUUUAACAAUAAACUGGAUUCACGAAGCAAACACAAGGGACUCAAUGAGGCAGAGUGUCUUAGCUUUUGUUUUCCUAUGUUAGUAUAUUUAUAUUUCAAUACAAACAUUGUGGGAUGUGAAGUAAAUUGUUCUACACGUCACUGAUUGUGCAGGAGUAGGGAGAGUCAUCCACCGGAUAGGACCCCAUGUCCGGAGAGGGUUGUGCACUUGAGAAGAGACAAUCAGGUACACAGACAAGUUGGGUGACCAUGUUCUUGAGCUUUUCAUCCAUUUGAUUCAUUAGGAGAGCCAUAUGAUUUGUAUAACUUAUAUUUCUGGGAGCAUGGUUUUAUAAUUCACUAUGGGAAAAGUCAGUUAAACACAAAGAAUAUGAAAUGCUUGCAAAAAAUACUUUGUGGUUGCUCUGUAUCUUAACUGGGUUGGUAUAGAAUCAAGUUCAGGUUCACCGGUGCUGAUAAUGGAAAUUUAUAUCUGCACAGGGGAGGCCUACAUAGGAGAACAGUAUGUCUUGGCGCUGUGAAUACCCAACAUUGGUUCGACUUUCCACACAUCAGACAAGGGGUGGCACAUUACUAAGCACAGAGUCUCGCACAAUCAUUCAUUCAUGCCCACAUGUGGCGACAAGGUUCAUUAGCAGUCGCGCAAGGAGAUAUAUCAGUACAGAAAGAACUUGGUAAAACUGCUAAGGCAAAACUUUCCUUGACCAUGAAUUCAAGGCCAAAUUUUGCACCUUCUUUUCCUCCAAUUAUCCGUUCCAGUUUGAUUAGGAUGAGACGUGUUUCGGUUAGCAUGAUUGUUUGUAAAUGGUCACCACCCUCCCUGUACUUUUGUUGUUGUCACUUCAUUAAUUAUUUCCCCAAAAGAUAACAUUGUAGAAAUCAGACAAGGUCUUAUGUCAAGUCUCGGGGCGUAGAAUCUAUUUCAUAGAGGUCGGUUAUCCUAUCUUUGUAUUGUUUUCUCUUUGCAUGGAUGAAGGUAUUUUUCGAAGAAUCCUUCUUAUGCUUGUUUGGAGUUUAACUAGAGGUACUUGUGGAGUGUGUUAUGAAGAUUGCUCCAUAGGAACUUUGAUCAAAUUGUUUGAUGACAUAUCACUAUCAUUCUUCUUCUACUUGAGAAAAAUAAAGUUU
RNAcentral lists this long non-coding RNA (1296 nucleotides) under Hordeum vulgare. RNAcentral describes it as "long non-coding RNA (HVUL_LNC002137)". Lineage: Eukaryota; Viridiplantae; Streptophyta; Magnoliopsida; Poales; Poaceae. The record is from RNAcentral.